RNAcentral lists this ribosomal RNA (435 nucleotides) under uncultured Eubacterium sp. RNAcentral describes it as "bacterial SSU rRNA". It matches the Rfam family "Bacterial small subunit ribosomal RNA", at positions 958 to 1393 of the family's 1533-position model. Lineage: Bacteria; Bacillati; Bacillota; Clostridia; Eubacteriales; Eubacteriaceae. The record is from RNAcentral.
AACGCGAAGAACCUUACCAAAUCUUGACAUCCCGAUGACAGGCUGUGUAAAGCAGCUUCUCUUCGGAGCAUCGGUGACAGGUGGUGCAUGGUUGUCGUCAGCUCGUGUCGUGAGAUGUUGGGUUAAGUCCCGCAACGAGCGCAACCCUUGUCUUUAGUAGCCAGCAUUUUUAGAUGGGCACUCUAGAGAGACUGCCAGGGAUAACCUGGAGGAAGGUGGGGAUGACGUCAAAUCAUCAUGCCCCUUAUGAUUUGGGCUACACACGUGCUACAAUGGCGUAAACAAAGAGAAGCAAAGGAGUGAUCCGGAGCAAAUCUCAAAAAUAACGUCUCAGUUCGGAUUGUAGUCUGCAACUCGACUACAUGAAGCUGGAAUCGCUAGUAAUCGCGAAUCAGAAUGUCGCGGUGAAUACGUUCCCGGGUCUUGUACACACGC